RNAcentral lists this ribosomal RNA (497 nucleotides) under uncultured bacterium. RNAcentral's name for it is "partial 16S ribosomal RNA". It matches the Rfam family "Bacterial small subunit ribosomal RNA", at positions 355 to 861 of the family's 1533-position model. The record is from RNAcentral.
UGGGGAAUAUUGCACAAUGGGCGCAAGCCUGAUGCAGCAACGCCGCGUGAGGGACGACGGCCUUCGGGUUGUAAACCUCUUUUAGUAGGGAAGAAGCGAAAGUGACGGUACCUGCAGAAAAAGCACCGGCUAACUACGUGCCAGCAGCCGCGGUAAUACGUAGGGUGCGAGCGUUGUCCGGAAUUAUUGGGCGUAAAGAGCUCGUAGGCGGUCUGUCGCGUCUGCUGUGAAAAUCCCGAGGCUCAACCUCGGGCCUGCAGUGGGUACGGGCAGACUAGAGUGCGGUAGGGGAGAAUGGAAUCCUGGUGUAGCGGUGGAAUGCGCAGACAUCAGGAGGAACACCGAUGGCGAAGGCAGUUCUCUGGGCCGUAACUGACGCUGAGGAGCGAAAGCGUGGGGAGCGAACAGGAUUAGAUACCCUGGUAGUCCACGCCGUAAACGUUGGGCGCUAGAUGUGGGGCACCAUUCCACGGUUUCCGUGUCGCAGCUAACGCAUU